UGGGGAAUGGUGCAACGGCAGCACGCCUGACUCUGGAUCAGGUAAUCGUGGUUCGAAUCCACGUUCCCCAGCCA
Molecule: transfer RNA, 74 nt
Filed under: Synergistota bacterium
Lineage: Bacteria; Thermotogati; Synergistota
Also listed under: 1 other name
Description: Synergistetes bacterium tRNA-Gln
Rfam family: tRNA
About the family: Transfer RNA (tRNA) molecules are approximately 80 nucleotides in length.
Source: RNAcentral